RNAcentral lists this ribosomal RNA (327 nucleotides) under uncultured eukaryote. RNAcentral's name for it is "partial 18S ribosomal RNA". It matches the Rfam family "Eukaryotic small subunit ribosomal RNA", at positions 1470 to 1796 of the family's 1831-position model. The record is from RNAcentral.
CCCUUAGAUGUUCUGGGCCGCACGCGCGCUACACUGACGAUGGCAACGAGUUUUUCCUUCGCCGAAAGGUGUGGGUAAUCUUUUGAAACAUCGUCGUGCUGGGGAUAGAUCAUUGCAAUUUUUGAUCUUGAACGAGGAAUUCCUAGUAAGCGCGAGUCAUCAGCUUGCAUUGAUUACGUCCCUGCCCUUUGUACACACCGCCCGUCGCUCCUACCGAUUGAAUGAUCCGAUGAAUAUCAUGGAUUGAGGAUGCAAGCAGGUUCGCCUGUCUUCAUCUUCGAGAAGUGAAGUAAAUCUUAUCAUUUAGAGGAAGGAGAAGUCGUAACA